GGCUCACCAGGACAACGUCAUCCCCAGAUGGGACCUGGGAGACAGCGGCAGGCUCCAUCCGCGUGUGACGCACUUGCCAACAAACAAGCCACCCAGCCCCUGGCCCCUCUGUGGCUUUCUUAGAGACAGGCUCGAUGACCGAGGAUUACUCACCCAGAGGAAAUCACCACUUCCAGGGCUCACAGACUCCCCUCUGGGCCUAAAUCCUCCCGCUUCUUCAGAUCCCUGCGCUAAGCCCCGGCCUUCAGAGGAGGCUGUCCGACUUCCCUGAGUAUGUCAGACCUGCCUCUCAUAGCAUCUCUUGGCAACCUUCCUCACACUGAUGCUGCCAGGAUGUAAAAAGAAUACUGCGGCCCAAUCCCUACCUUCACAGAGCUCCAACUACCAGCCCAUCAGUAUAGACCACUGGGAAACCACAAGGCUCUGGAAACAGGCAGACCUGGGUUUGCAACCUGGUACUACUGUGUGACAAGAAAACCUCUAAGGAAUCAGUUUUUCCUCCCUAAAUACAGGGAGAAAAGCACAUGGAGAGCCUGGGACUGAGCUAUGGGGAAUACCCUUUAGAAGUAAACCAUCAAAGACCACCAAAAAGGAGUGGCCAGGACAGAAACCAGGAGGGGAGGUGUCAUCAAAGCCAAGAAGGAAGUGCUUCAACUACAAAACUCUGUAAGGGAAGGAUAAGCUAUGUCAAAUACUGCUGAGAGGCUGAGAACAAUGAAGAGAGAGACAUGACCUUUGGCUUUGGCAAGAUGGAGGUCACUAGAGACCUUGGCAAGAGCAUCUAAGUGGAGCAUGUGAACCAGGUCUGCGUGGACAGCAAGAAGGAGAGAAGACAUGGAGAUAUUCCUUUGGAAAGAUGGUUCUGUGAGGAGGAGGACAGCUGGUAGAUGCUCCAUCUGAAAAAAAUGGAAGGAUGUGCACCAAGGCUCAGCUCCACCUCUCCCAGAUGGAAUCAGUGGAGACAUUUUAAACUUUGAUGACCUUGCUGCACUGCUCCAAGGUUGUGGUGAGACUCUGAGAAGGAGUUAGAAAAGACAGAGAUAACAACGGGCAUGGUGAAGAGGGAGAGCGAUCCAAAGAGAGAAUGAACAUCCAUGUAGGGUAAGUGGACUAAGCAAUGUGUCAUGAGGAAGAGUGAAGAAAUGCCUGGCAUCAUCUUCUAGAUUCUGUACGUGUAUGUGAAUGUCUAAGAGUUUUCCAUCUGGUCAUAUGGACUGUUACCUGCACACCUACCUGGAGUUUAUGGCCCUAAUUCAGGGGAUCUGUGUAUAUACCCUGAGAAGAUACAUACACGCUCACAGCCAUGCACAUACACAC
Kogia breviceps (pygmy sperm whale) is the source of this 1317-nucleotide long non-coding RNA. RefSeq lists it as uncharacterized. The record is from RefSeq and is a predicted model, not a curated record. Lineage: Eukaryota; Metazoa; Chordata; Mammalia; Artiodactyla; Physeteridae.